GGGUACAGCUCAGUGGUGGAGCGCAUGCUUAGCACGCAUGAGGCCCUCCCUGGGUUCAAUCCCCAGGGUCCCCA
RNAcentral lists this transfer RNA (74 nucleotides) under Camelus bactrianus (Bactrian camel). It matches the Rfam family "tRNA". From Rfam's summary of the family: Transfer RNA (tRNA) molecules are approximately 80 nucleotides in length. Their secondary structure includes four short double-helical elements and three loops (D, anti-codon, and T loops). RNAcentral also lists the same sequence under 2 other names. Lineage: Eukaryota; Metazoa; Chordata; Mammalia; Artiodactyla; Camelidae. The record is from Rfam by way of RNAcentral.